Molecule: transfer RNA, 82 nt
Filed under: Danionella translucida
Lineage: Eukaryota; Metazoa; Chordata; Actinopteri; Cypriniformes; Danionidae
Also listed under: 1 other name
Rfam family: tRNA
About the family: Transfer RNA (tRNA) molecules are approximately 80 nucleotides in length. Their secondary structure includes four short double-helical elements and three loops (D, anti-codon, and T loops).
Source: Rfam by way of RNAcentral
GACGAGGUGGCCGAGAGGUUAAGGCGAUGGACUGUUAAUCCAUUGUGCUUCUCACGCGUGGGUUCGAAUCCCUUCCUCGUUG